CCUACGGGAUGCAGCAGUGAGGAAUAUUGGUCAAUGGCCGAGAGGCUGAACCAGCCAAGUCGCGUGAGGGAAGAAUGUCCUAUGGAUUGUAAACCUCUUUUGUCAGGGAGUAAAGUCACCCACGUGUGGGUUUUGGAGAGUACCUUAAGAAAAAGCAUCGGCUAACUCCGUGCCAGCAGCCGCGGUAAUACGGAGGAUUCGAGCGUUAUCCGGAUUUAGUGGGUUUAAAGGGUGCGUAGGCGGGUUAUCAAGUCGGCGGUAAAAUCGUGGAGCUCAACUCCAUCCAGCCGUUGAAACUGAUGAUCUUGAGUGGGCGAGAAGUAUGCGGAAUGUGUGGUGUAGCGGUGAAAUGCAUAGAUAUCAAGAGGAAUACUCAUUGCGAAGGCGACCUACUGGAACAUGACUGACGCUCAUGCACGAAAGCGUGGGGAGCAAACAGGAUUAGAUACCCUUGUAGUC
This 459-nucleotide ribosomal RNA is filed under the name uncultured bacterium. RNAcentral's name for it is "partial 16S ribosomal RNA". It matches the Rfam family "Bacterial small subunit ribosomal RNA", at positions 338 to 795 of the family's 1533-position model. The record is from RNAcentral.